AACACGUGGGUAACCUGCCCAUAAGAGGGGGAUAACAUUCGGAAACGGAUGCUAAUACCGCAUAUUUCAAGUGACCGCAUGGUCGCUUGAUGAAAGGUGGCUUCGGCUACCACUUAUGGAUGGACCCGCGGUGCAUUAGUUAGUUGGUGAGGUAAUGGCUCACCAAGACCAUGAUGCAUAGCCGACCUGAGAGGGUGAUCGGCCACACUGGGACUGAGACACGGCCCAGACUCCUACGGGAGGCAGCAGUAGGGAAUCUUCCGCAAUGGACGAAAGUCUGACGGAGCAAUGCCGCGUGAGUGAAGAAGGUUUUCGGAUCGUAAAACUCUGUUGUUAGAGAAGAACAAGGAUGAGAGUAACUGCUCAUCCCCUGACGGUAUCUAACCAGAAAGCCACGGCUAACUACGUGCCAGCAGCCGCGGUAAUACGUAGGUGGCAAGCGUUGUCCGGAUUUAUUGGGCGUAAAGCGAGCGCAGGCGGUUCUUUAAGUCUGGUGUGAAAGCCCCCGGCUCAACCGGGGAGGGUCAUUGGAAACUGGAGAACUUGAGUGCGGAAGAGGAGAGUGGAAUUCCAUGUGUAGCGGUGAAAUGCGUAGAUAUAUGGAG
This 605-nucleotide ribosomal RNA is filed under the name uncultured bacterium. RNAcentral describes it as "bacterial SSU rRNA". It matches the Rfam family "Bacterial small subunit ribosomal RNA", at positions 112 to 703 of the family's 1533-position model. The record is from RNAcentral.